AGCCGUAAGGCGAAGCUCGCGACCGAAGCCCCGAUAAACGGCGGCCGUAACUAUGACGGUCCUAAGGUAGCGAAGUUCCUUGUCGGGUAAGUUCCGACGUGCAUGAAAGGCGUAAUGAGAGGAAGACUGUCUCAACCAGUAACCCGGUGAAAUUGUAGUCGUGGUGAAGAUGCCACGUUCCCGCAGCUAGACGGAAAGACCCCGUGAACCUUGACUGUAGGCUGAUAUUGGGCUCGUGUAUUGACUGUGUAGGAUAGGUGGGAGGCUUUGAACCUUGGGCGCCAGCUCGAGGGGAGCCAUUGGUGAAAUACCACCCUUUUAAUGCAUAAGUUCUAACGCUGAUUCCUGUGAAUCCAGGCAGCGGACAGUGUCAGUUGGGCAGUUUGACUGGGGCGGUCUCCUCCUAAAAGAGUAACGGAGGAGCCCAAUAGGCGACCUCAGCCUGGUUGGCAAUCAGGCAUCGAGCGUAAAAGGUAGAAGGUUGCUAAACUGCGAGACCCAUGAGUCGAGCAGAUGUGAAAGCAGGG
This 527-nucleotide ribosomal RNA is filed under the name uncultured bacterium. Its description in RNAcentral is "bacterial LSU rRNA". It matches the Rfam family "Bacterial large subunit ribosomal RNA", at positions 1892 to 2410 of the family's 2925-position model. The record is from RNAcentral.